UUUCCGUAGGUGAACCUGCGGAAGGUUCAUUACUGAGUGAGGGCCCCUCGGGGUCCAACCUCCCACCCGUGUUUAACGAACCUUGUUGCUUCGGCGGGCCCGCCUCACGGCCGCCGGGGGGCAUCUGCCCCCGGGCCCGCGCCCGCCGAAGCCACCUGUGAACGCUGUCUGAAGUAUGCAGUCUGAGACAAUUAUUAAAUUAAUUAAAACUUUCAACAACGGAUCUCUUGGUUCCG
This 236-nucleotide unclassified non-coding RNA is filed under the name plant metagenome. RNAcentral's name for it is "partial contains small subunit ribosomal RNA, internal transcribed spacer 1, and 5.8S ribosomal RNA". The record is from RNAcentral.